Molecule: ribosomal RNA, 766 nt
Filed under: uncultured fungus
Lineage: Eukaryota; Fungi
Description: SSU rRNA
Rfam family: Eukaryotic small subunit ribosomal RNA
Source: RNAcentral
CAGCAGCCGCGGUAAUUCCAGCUCCAAUAGCGUAUAUUAAAAUUGUUGCCGUUAAAAAGCUCGUAGUCGAACUUCGGGCUCUGUCAGCCGGUCCGCCUUCUUGGUGUGUACUUGUUUGACGGAGCCUUACCUCCUGGUGAACGGCGAUGUCCUUUACUGGGUGUCGUCGCAAACCAGGACUUUUACUUUGAAAAAAUUAGAGUGUUCAAAGCAGGCCUUUGCCCGAAUACAUUAGCAUGGAAUAAUAAAAUAGGACGCGCGUUCCCAUUUUGUUGGUUUCUGAGAUCGCCGUAAUGAUUAAUAGGGAUAGUUGGGGGCAUUUGUAUUCCGUCGUCAGAGGUGAAAUUCUUGGAUUGCCGGAAGACAAACUACUGCGAAAGCAUUUGCCAAGGAUGUUUUCAUUGAUCAAGAACGAAGGAAGGGGGAUCGAAAACGAUUAGAUACCGUUGUAGUCUCUUCUGUAAACUAUGCCAAUUGGGGAUCGGUACAGGAUUUUUAAUGACUGUAUCGGCACCCGAAGAGAAAUCUUUAAAUGAGGUUCGGGGGGGAGUAUGGUCGCAAGGCUGAAACUUAAAGGAAUUGACGGAAGGGCACCACCAGGUGUGGAGCCUGCGGCUUAAUUUGACUCAACACGGGGAAACUCACCAGGUCCAGACACAAUAAGGAUUGACAGAUUGAUAGCUCUUUCUUGAUCUUGUGGUUGGUGGUGCAUGGCCGUUCUUAGUUGGUGGAGUGAUUUGUCUGGUUAAUUCCGAUAACGAACGAG